This 2716-nucleotide long non-coding RNA is filed under the name Nicotiana tabacum (common tobacco). RNAcentral describes it as "long non-coding RNA (NTAB_LNC004978)". The record is from RNAcentral. Lineage: Eukaryota; Viridiplantae; Streptophyta; Magnoliopsida; Solanales; Solanaceae.
AGGAGAAAAAAUUAGACCCUCCAUUUUACCAAACCCUAGCCGCAGCCUUCUCCCUCCUCACUCUCUCAUCUGCAUACAUGCUCACUCACUCACUUCCUUGUCCUCACAUAAUAUACACCCACACUCAUAUACUCAUUUUCUCCACCUGAAGUUCAUUGUUGAGAUUUGAAAUCUUAGGCGACGAGAAAAUACACAAGAGCGGCAGUUAAAAAUACUCCAAAUAGCCUAAAAAUGUUAGUUUAGAUCAGUAGUUUCAAGGAGCUGUUUGGUUUUAUGUUGAUUUGCUUGGUAGUUUUCUGGUUUUCUAAGAGUGAUUAAACUCUCAAAUCACUGUUGGUUGCUGCUGAUUCACUUUACUGUUGAGCUCCAGAUUUAUCUUUUAUCACUGUUUCUCUCUAUUCUGUUUCGACAUCAAGGUACUCUUCUUGAUUUUGAUCAUGUAACUUGAUUUGGAUAACUCAUAUUCUAUGAAAAUAAUUUCGUGAAACUACAUGUUCUUCUCUGUUAAGCGAGUGACUAUUAUCUUCGAUCUGUAUGCCAUGUUUAUGACUAAUUUCAUAGAUACAUCAUGAGAUUUGCCUAUAUCCUCUCCUAUGCUAGUUUUGUGUUAGUUGUUUGUUGAACUAAGUGUUUAAAUUCAAAUCAUUCUCUGAAUCAGUUUGUUAAUCGCUCAAUGCCUUAUGACUAAUACUAUGGUUUCGAAUAUUGCUUAUAAUUGCCUUUGUGUUAGCUUGAAGUUCUGAUUUUCACUUAGGGUUGAAAGUUGAAGUUACAAACUGCACAUUAAUUAGCUUAGCUGCUACUGACAGUAGAACUAUCCUAAUGAAGCAUUUAAUAAUUUAAAAUGUCAUUAUAUCAGUGUUGGCUGUGCGUUUAGUGAGUUCAUAAGGAUUUGAACUGAAUUUGGUUACUGUUGACGCUCUUCACAUAAGAGAAUGGGAGUUUGAAUGCUUGGGUUCAAGUUGAAGUCGUAGUACGAAGAGUUACGAAUCUCUAUUUGGAUUUUUGUGUUGUAACAACAAAUGAUUUUCGUACUGUGAUGUUAGUUUGAGUAAUCAGGAAUUAAUGUUUUGGAAACAGUCUUGUAGUUGCUUUUAAAUUUGAACAGUCAUGUAUUAAUAUUUGGGGAAGUUGCAUUUGAUAAUGUUGACAAGCAAUCAAUGUAUCACUGGGCCAAUAUAGCUGAAAUGUUAAUUGAGCCUCUAGAAUACAAUCACCACUAUCUUAAGUAACGAAAUGUGUGGCUAUCCCAACAAAUGAAUUCCAUAAUAAUCUAUGGCCUUUCACAUUCAAUCAUAACUCUUAGGAAAUGAACAACCAUGAAUGCGCUAGCAUGCUUUAGGCACGUUCUUAAUUCAAUCAAUUAUCGUGAUUGUGUACACGUUCGCGCGACAUACAUGAAUCCAAAAAUAAAUCAAAGUAUGCGUUCGCGCAACUUUGGCCAAAAAAUAAUCUUCAUAAUUAGUAAAGUGUGAUUAAUUGUGUACACGUACGCGUGACAUAAUUUUAGAGCGAUAAAUAAAAUAGAUUUACACACAUGUAAUACGUUUCAAAGAUAAUUCCAUAACGCCAUAAUUAAAAGCGGUAAAAACAUAAAUGUACAUAGGUUCUAAAAGUAAGUAAUUAAAUAAUUUAAUUAAGCCAUGUAUGAUUAAAGCGACCGUGCUAAAACCACGGAACUCGGAAAUGCCCAACACCUUCUUCCGGAUUAACAGAAUUCCUUACCCGGUCUUCUGUGUUCGCAGACCAAAAAUAGAGUCAUUUUCCUCGAUUUGGGAUUCUAAAAUAAACCGGUGACUUGGGACACCAUAAUCAUUCCAAGUGGCGACUCUGAAUUAAAAUAAAUAAUCCUAUUUCGAUUAAUGUCAUUUUAAUUGAAAAAACUCCCCUAUCCCCUCGGGAAAAAGGAGGUGUCACACUUGAUAUUUGUUAUUAUUACUAAUAAUAUUGCACGAGGGGUGUUUCCGUGCUUGGUGAGAAAGAGUGAUACAUAUAUUUAUAUAUGCACAAAGGGUGUUCCCAUGCUAGUGAGGAUGAAAGGUGAAUGCACGAAAGGUGUUGUCGUGCUAUUGAUAUGAUAUCUUUUACUUAUUUCUCUAUUUAUGCGGAUUUGUCAAUUGACCUUGUUGUUUUCGUUAUUGUUGUUUCAUCUUCUUGGAUUUGAGGUGUUAAGAGAGGCUCGGUUGUGAUAUUUGAGAACUUUGAUCGUUAUUUGUUUUAGUUAAUUAUUUUACUAUUUCUCGUAUCUAUCCUUGUUAUAUAUCUUAUUAUUUCUCUUGCUAUUUCUCUUUUUUUUUAUUGGUUAUUAACUGCAAAGAUUUAUAAGUAGGUGUCUUAUCUUAGCCUCGUUACUACUUUAUCGGAGUUAGGCUCAAUACUUACUGAGUACAUGGGAUCGGUUGUACUCAUACUACACUUUCGCACUUCUUGUGCGGAUCCCAGUAUUGGUCUUAGUGGAAUCCCGAGGGGUGCUUAGAUUGGACAUUUGGGUGAUUUGAGGCAGUGUUGUAUCUCUGUCCAUAGACUCGGGAGUCGCCUUUGUUAUCCCUAUUACUGUUAUUUGUAUCAUACAGUAUUGUAUUCCUUCCAGACUAUGUAUUUAGUAUUCCUAAGAGCUCAUACACUCAGUGACACUAGUCUUAGAGAGUUAUUUAGACAUUUGUAUUGGUUUUAAAUUUAUUAUAUAAUUUCGGAGUUUUUACUCUUUAUUUAUGGU